AGAGUUUGAUCAUGGCUCAGAGCGAACGUUAGCGGCAGGCCUAACACAUGCAAGUCACACGAGAAUUCGGUUUCGGCCGAUAGUAAAGUGGCGGACGGGUGCGUAACACGUGGGUAAUCUGCCCUUCGGCGGGGGACAACAGUCCGAAAGGAUUGCUAAUACCGCAUACGUCGGCAGGGUUUACGAACCUUGCUGGGAAAGCAGGCCUCUUCAUGAAAGCUUGCACCGAAGGAUGAGCCCGCGGCCCAUCAGCUAGUUGGUAGGGUAAUGGCCUACCAAGGCAUAGACGGGUAGCUGGUCUGAGAGGAUGAUCAGCCACACUGGGACUGAGACACGGCCCAGACUCCUACGGGAGGCAGCAGUGGGGAAUAUUGGGCAAUGGGCGCAAGCCUGACCCAGCCAUGCCGCGUGAGUGAUGAAGGCUUUCGGGUCGUAAAGCUCUGUGGGGAGGGACGAAAAAACGGAACCUAAUACGUUCUGGACUGACGGUACCUCCUUAGCAAGCACCGGCUAACUCCGUGCCAGCAGCCGCGGUA
Molecule: ribosomal RNA, 536 nt
Filed under: uncultured Pseudomonadota bacterium
Lineage: Bacteria; Pseudomonadati; Pseudomonadota
Description: bacterial SSU rRNA
Rfam family: Bacterial small subunit ribosomal RNA
Source: RNAcentral